GCGAGCGUAGCUCAGUUGGUAGAGCAUCACGUUGCCAACGUGAAUGUCGAGGGUUCGAAUCCCUUCGCUCGCUCCA
Molecule: transfer RNA, 76 nt
Filed under: Verrucomicrobia bacterium ADurb.Bin118
Lineage: Bacteria; Pseudomonadati; Verrucomicrobiota
Also listed under: 4 other names
Description: tRNA-Gly
Rfam family: tRNA
About the family: Transfer RNA (tRNA) molecules are approximately 80 nucleotides in length. Their secondary structure includes four short double-helical elements and three loops (D, anti-codon, and T loops). Further hydrogen bonds mediate the characteristic L-shaped molecular structure. tRNAs have two regions of fundamental functional importance: the anti-codon, which is responsible for specific mRNA codon recognition, and the 3' end, to which the tRNAs corresponding amino acid is attached (by aminoacyl-tRNA synthetases). tRNAs cope with the degeneracy of the genetic code in two manners: having more than one tRNA (with a specific anti-codon) for a particular amino acid; and 'wobble' base-pairing, i.e. permitting non-standard base-pairing at the 3rd anti-codon position.
Source: RNAcentral